This 25-nucleotide small RNA is filed under the name Bombyx mori (domestic silkworm). Its description in RNAcentral is "ovarian small RNA-25254". Lineage: Eukaryota; Metazoa; Arthropoda; Insecta; Lepidoptera; Bombycidae. The record is from RNAcentral.
UCACGAGGUGGGCCCCCUGAAGCGG